AAAAAGAAACCUUCAUUAGUUAUGACAAUCCACCAAAGCAGGACCGGAGAAGACAAGAGAUGGUUUCUGUUGCUGUUCUUGUUGUUGUUGCUGCUGUUGUUUUUGUUUCUUGGAAGCAAAGGAUAAUAUUUCAUCUUCUUGUGCUGGAAGAUUGAGAUCCAAAUUCAAAGAAAGUAGUUUUCUUGCUUUCUUGGGUUCUUCAGAUUCUAUAGCUAUUGGUGUUAAUGACAAGGUUGUGCUAUUAUUUGCCCCUAUAGGUGCCCGGUGCCGUCUCAUAUGGCCGCCUAAAGCUUGACCGGAGGUGAACUCGGCACCACAAAUGGAACACUCAUGAAUCUUGGCCUUGUUUUGACCGCUGCUGCUAUAUAUAACUCUAUUGUUAUUAUUAUGACUCAAUUGAAGAGAAAGAGAAGAAAUAUCUCUAAAGUGUCCAUCUUCAUUGGAUGAUACUGCAAACUGCUUCUUCUCAUCAUUCUUAGGCUUCUUAUGACUAGCCCUAUGUCCACCCAAUGCUUGGAAAGAUGGGAACGUCCGGUUACAAGUCUUGCACUCAUAUACAUAGUAUCCGGCCUUGCUGGAACCUGGAGACCCUGUUUCUAAGAAUCUUCUACUAUUGAAUU
RNAcentral lists this unclassified non-coding RNA (620 nucleotides) under Hevea brasiliensis (rubber tree). Lineage: Eukaryota; Viridiplantae; Streptophyta; Magnoliopsida; Malpighiales; Euphorbiaceae. The record is from RNAcentral.